AGAGGCAGCAGUAAACAAGAAACGUCGUUGUUUCUGAGGCACAGCAUGGUGGGAUGGGAUCCAUCCCCCUUCAAACAACGCAAAAUCGGCAGCUUCUACAUCUUCUCUCCGAUUGUUCAAACCAAAAACCAUCCCUAAUUCCGUAAACACCACAAAAUCAAAAAACCCUAAAUCGGUCUCCAACUUUUAUGCCAUUCUCCGACAGAAUCGAGGAAAUCUACCCUGUGUUCGCAGGAUCUGUGUUCAGGUGCUAUCAAUUCACAAUCUCAAACACCAAUUCUCCGACGAAACUCUAAAUCUCUCGAAUCUCGCCAUUACUCCGAUAGAUUAGAGAAAUCUAAGUCGCCAACGCUUACUUUUCACUCCUGCUCUCAAACUCACGGCCUCAGACACAAUCCAGCAAAGGAACCAUAAUUACUCUGAAACUCACGCCUGGACAAACGACCACGGAAAAACAGAUGCCGCAAAACGGAGACGAAAUGCUCACCAACACUAGAAAAGAGAUGGAUUUUGGACAUCGUCACGGGGGCGGAGUUGCCGGAAAAAGGAAUAAGAGGCCCACAAUUUUCACCAGCUACAGAGCACCUCUCCUCCUCUUCACCUUCAUAAUAAUCGCUAUCUUCAUCUCCUCCAAAAUCUCCUUCUCUCCUUCUCUCCUUCCACUUUCCCCAGACUCACGCCCUCCCCAAUGCACCCACACUCCGGGAGACAAGUACCUCUGGUAUGCGCCCCACAGCGGUUUCAGCAACCAGCUCUCCGAAUUCAGGAAUGCUAUUUUGAUGGCCGCCAUUCUCAAUCGCACGCUGAUUGUGCCUCCUGUUCUCGAUCACCACGCGGUCGCCCUCGGGAGUUGCCCCAAAUUUAGGGUUUUGGAUCCGAAUGAAUUGAGAUUCAGAGUAUGGAACCACAGUAUUCAGCUAAUCCGUGAUCGCAGGUACGUAUCCAUGGCGGAUAUAGUUGAUCUUUCAUCUCUAGUGGUCACUUCAACUGUCAGAUUUAUGGAUUUCAGGAUUUUUGUGUCAAAGUGGUGUGACGUGAAUCUCAGUUUGGCUUGCACUGCAGACUCAAGUAUGCAUUCAUCGAUGCUUGAGAAACUAAGACAAUGUGGAUCUUUACUAUCUGGAUACGAUGGUAAUGUGGAAGCAUGUUUUGUUGCUUCCCAAGAAGAUUGCAGAACAACAGUAUGGACAUACCAAACUGAUGAUGAGGUUUUGGAUUCAUUUCAAGCUGAUGAAGAAUUCAAGAAGAAAAGGAAAUUUUCAUUUUCGAGGACAAGGAAAGAUGUUUCUAGGGCCCUUGGUCCUGGAUCCACAGCUGGAUCAGCCACUGUCCUGGCCUUUGGGAGCCUAUUUACCGGACCAUAUAAGGGAUCUGAAUCGCAUAUUGACAUCCAUGAAGCUCCAAACGAUCAAAGGGUACAGUUAGUAAUUCAGAAGAUUGAAUUUCUUCAAUUUGUGCCUGAAAUCUUGAAUGCUGGGAAGAGUUUUGCACACGAGACGAUUAGCGCUCCGUUUCUUUGUGCACAGCUUAGGUUAUUGGAUGGUCAGUUUAAGAACCACUGGGACGGUACUUUCCAAGUAUUGAAGCAAACCCUAGACUCGUUGAAACAGAAGGGCACUCUCCCAAUACAUGUAUUCAUAAUGACAGAUCUUCCCCGGGUUAAUUGGACUGGAAGUUAUCUGGGGGAUCUCGAAAAAGACUCUGAUGUUUUUAAGCUGUUUGUUCUGAGAGAAGACGACGAAUUAGUAGCUAAAACUGCUAAGAAACUUGUAAAUGCAGCAUAUGGAUUGAAGCUUCAAUAUGUUUCAAGCAGUUUUGAUGGAAGAGAGCAACAUUGCAGUCCUCUAUCAUUACCUGAUAUACUACUAUAUGUCGAAGAAACUAUCUGUGGUUGUGCUUCUCUAGGUUUCGUUGGGACUGCUGGUUCAACCAUUGCCAAUAGCAUAGAAUUGAUGAGAAAAAAUCAUGCAUGUUCAUGAUGAAGAUAGAAGAAUGUGAGACAGUAUUAAAUGUUGAUUAAACCUCAUUGAUGGAAUCAGAGAUAGAAGCAAGACUCAACAAAGUAUAAAGGAUCCUAUAAGGUCUCCAAUUCAGACAGUAGAAAUAUGAGAUCACCCCAUCAUCUGAAGGCAUGAUGCAGUGACUGAGUUGCAGGACUUGAAGAAGAACCAAAGUGAUACCACAUGAAUUUCCAGUUCUCAACAAAAUGGCAGGCAUCUCCCUUUUGUAGUCACUCAAAUACUCUCUCAUGACCUCCUCCACAAAACUUAGAUGAUGGAAGUGGAAGCUCCUCACUGAGGGUCAUCCUUACUAUCACAAGAGAUUUCCGAUAGUUGCCAGAGUCAAAUGAGAAGGUGAGAUCCAAGACACACCCUCUUCAUAUGUAUAUCCAUUAAAUUAAAUCACAACAGUUUGUUGGCUUCUUCAUCUUUUUUCUUAGAGAAUCACCCCUGUAAUUUGACUGCACUUUAUAUCAACCAAAGUUGAAUGGCAUAUAAUUUUAUUGUA
Molecule: non-coding RNA, 2508 nt
Organism: Salvia hispanica
Lineage: Eukaryota; Viridiplantae; Streptophyta; Magnoliopsida; Lamiales; Lamiaceae
Source: RefSeq, a predicted model, not a curated record